AUCCCCUUGCAGCAGCCAUCAUACGCCGCCGCCGCCAGCCCACAACGGAGUCCCGGCCGCCGGCUCCCCGUUGCUCUUCGCCUCCUUGGAAGGUCGGAUCUUGCCACCGCCCCGAACUCGCGGUCUCUCCCCACCCCAAUAUUUCAGCUCUCCCAUAGAUCCUCUCCGAUCCGGAGUUCCACGCGUAGGGCACCAGCAUGCAGAGGCAAGGAAUGCCGCUCCUCCUCCAACCAGCCAGCCAUAGCGGCGUCGUUCCUCUGACAUGCGAAGGGGCUCUCCUCUCCCACCGGUCGGCGCCUCGACUUGGACUCCUACAGCCGGCACCUCCACUUCAGCUCACACCGGCCGGCAUCCUCCGCCGCCAAAUCUUAACCACUUCGUGUUCCUCUGGCCUUCAUGUGUAUCUCCCGUUAUAUCUCCUCUCUGUUCUGAUUUUCAGGAAGAAGGUUCAUUUUUGUGGCCCGUUUCCACUAGGUAGAUGGGAUGGCAAUGGCGGUUCCUUGGUUGAAGGAUGCAAUGCAGCUCACUAAAUUUGAAGUUGUACUAUUUUGGUCUGCCUAGAUACCCAAGCAGGGGAGAUAGGCUGCAAGUUGGGUAGAAAGCGGCAUGAUUCUCGGCAAUACUCUUUACUUGGUAUUUGAUGAUUACUCUUUACUUGGUACAACGUUCUUGAUGAUUUAAUAUAGUCUGACCCUGCUGUAGAAAGAAGCUUACAUACAUGCCUGGAUGUGUUCGAGAUGCAUUGCAGUGUGUAUUACUCUUUAGUUGGUAUAAUGUUCUAGAUGAUUUUAAUAGUCUGGCCCUGCUGUAGAAAACAGUUUACAUACAUGCCUGGAUGUGUUCGAGAUGCAUUGCAGUGUGUACUCAUAGGUGGUCGUGAAGGGCGACUAAAAGUAAUCCAUCAUCACAUCAAGUUUCUGGAAUUCUGGGGAUCGAAAUCAGAUCGAGAUGCCAAUGUCCUGUAUGUUGCUUCAGUUAUAUGGCUUGAGCUGGUCAAUCUGCAAGAUGAUGCAAAAAAUUGCUUGCAGAUAGUCUGUAUGUAUGUGUACAGACAUGCAUGUUGUAUGUUUAUAUCAAUUUUGCAAAUUGACAUUUGUUCAGAUGCUUCUAAGUAGUGGUUCAUGAAGAUUCAAAGUAAAUCUAAAUUACUUUGUGUUGCCUAUCCUAUUACUUGAUUUUUUUGCUAACUAUGUGUAUGAGUAAAUUUCCAAGAUGAUGCAAAAAAAUCGCUUGCAGAUAGUCUGUAUGUGUACACACAUGCAUGUUGUAUGUUUAUAUUAACUUUGCAAUACUGAUGUUUGUUCAGAUUCUUCUAAGCAGUAUGCUCUAGCAGAACGAUGCUUCCCUUUCCUUACUGUUGUUGCUAAAUAUUUUUUUUAUGUGGCAUAUGAGGACUGAACAGCAUCAGGCCAACGAUCUCACCCUGGGAGUCCACUUCUUUACGGUCAUGACAUCUGCCUUGACAAAUUAUCUGGAGUUGAGCUCCAGAGACGAAUGGGGAGGUGGACUUUGCUGGAGUUAUCAUGUGUUCUUGCAAUCAGAACGCAUGGGGAUUAUAAGCCAAUAUACGAUUUGUUCAUUUUCUUUUAGAGGGAAAGCCAUGGUAUUUGGAUGGCGGAAGCAGUUCUGAUAUUUGAUAUAGAUUUAAAGGACCAGGAGAACCUAAGUGGCUCAUUCCUAUACCAACAUUCCGAUAUAUACGGGGCAGUUCUUAAACGUGCAAAUGUUCAAGCCAUUAAAACACCCUCUUAGGAAAAACAUUGUAUUUUCACACUUAUGGAAAAUGAACUUUAAAUCACGAAAAAUGUUGAUUUUUUUACAAGAGAUCUUGAGGAUGAGAUAAUUUUCAGCAAAUUCAGAGGAAUAGCUUAAGUACCAGGGCGACACAUGUGUUCAUUGGUCGCAAGGAAAAAAAUCUACUUGCUGUCGGGAACCAAAGCAACAACAGAUCAAGUUACUUGGUCGGAAGAAAUUGUCAAGGGUCGCAGCUUACGCAUGAUUGGAAGUGGCGAUCUUAGUCUAUCUCACCUAAGUUACAUGAUAUAAAAAUUAGUAAAGAUGUAGAACAACCUAGAAUUUUGCGUCUCAACUAUGUGUCAUAUUUUCUUAUUAUCAUAUACUUUUUUUGAGACGGUCUUACUAUUAUACUUUGUAAUGCUUAUAAUUCACGAGUGAUAGAUUCUGAGAUGUACUACCGAUGUGACCAAGGAUGUCCAGUUU
Long non-coding RNA from Triticum dicoccoides, 2220 nucleotides. RefSeq lists it as uncharacterized. The record is from RefSeq and is a predicted model, not a curated record. The transcript has 5 exons. Lineage: Eukaryota; Viridiplantae; Streptophyta; Magnoliopsida; Poales; Poaceae.